Suricata suricatta (meerkat) is the source of this 465-nucleotide long non-coding RNA. RefSeq lists it as uncharacterized. The transcript is spliced from 2 exons. Lineage: Eukaryota; Metazoa; Chordata; Mammalia; Carnivora; Herpestidae. The record is from RefSeq and is a predicted model, not a curated record.
UGUGCGGCCGCCCCCCUCCCCGGCGUUCCCCUGCGCCGCGGAGCCCCGCGCGACUGCCGCGGCGGGAGCCCUUUCCGAAGACGCGGGCCUUCCCCGCCCCGGCUUGCUUUUCCCAGAUCUCCCGGCCGGGGCUGGUACCGGACGAGCCGCGAGGGAGCCGCGAGCCUCCGCGGACACCGAGGGUCUGAAACGUGGCCGGAGUCCAUUGGGCUGUUGAAAGAAUUCCGCAUAUGAGUGAAAUCAUAUGGAAUUUGUCCUAACGGAAUGUAUUUCUUCAGUUGAGUUCGCUUUGGAAGUUACACAACUGUUAGACCUCCCAUCUCGGCUUGGAGGAUUUUUAGUUCUGGAAAAACACGCUCAUGCUUUUGUUGGUUAUCAGCCCUUCCUUGGUGGGGGUAGCUGCCCCUGGGGAUGCUGCAGAGUGCCCUGAAGAAAUGGGUCCCCACUGGUGCAAAAAAAAAAAAA